This 440-nucleotide ribosomal RNA is filed under the name uncultured bacterium. Its description in RNAcentral is "partial 16S ribosomal RNA". It matches the Rfam family "Bacterial small subunit ribosomal RNA", at positions 338 to 795 of the family's 1533-position model. The record is from RNAcentral.
GCUACGGGCGGCAGCAGUGGGGGAUAUUGCACAAUGGGGGAAACCCUGAUGCAGCGACGCCGCGUGAGUGAAGAAGUAUUUCGGUAUGUAAAGCUCUAUCAGCAGGGAAGAAAAUGACAGUACCUGACCAAGAAGCCCCGGCUAACUACGUGCCAGCAGCCGCGGUAAUACGUAGGGGGCAAGCGUUAUCCGGAUUUACUGGGUGUAAAGGGAGCGUAGACGGUUAUGCAAGCCUGGUGGGAAAGCCCGGGGCCCAACCCCGGGACUGCUUUGGAAACUGUGUACCUGGAGUACCGGAGGGGCAGGCGGAAUUCCUGGUGUAGCGGUGACAUGCGUAGAUAUCAGGAGGAACACCAGCGGCGAAGGCGGCCUGCUGGACUGCACCUGACGUUGAGGCUCGAAAGCGUGGGGAGCAAACAGGAUUAGAUACCCGGGUAGUC